Molecule: ribosomal RNA, 426 nt
Filed under: uncultured bacterium
Lineage: Bacteria
Also listed under: 1 other name
Description: bacterial SSU rRNA
Rfam family: Bacterial small subunit ribosomal RNA
Source: RNAcentral
UCGAGAAUUUUUCACAAUGGGCGCAAGCCUGAUGGAGCGACGCCGCGUGGGGGAUGAAUGGCUUCGGCCCGUAAACCCCUGUCAUUCGCGAUCAAACGUUGGUAUUUAAAAGAUGCCAGCCUGAUAGUAGCGGAAGAGGAAGGGACGGCUAACUCUGUGCCAGCAGCCGCGGUAAUACAGAGGUCCCGAGCGUUGUUCGGAUUCACUGGGCGUAAAGGGUGCGUAGGUGGUGAGGUAAGUCGGAUGUGAAAGCUCGGAGCUCAACUCCGAAAUGGCAUUGGAAACUACCUUGCUUGAGGAUUGGAAGGGGGACUGGAAUGCUUGGUGUAGCAGUGAAAUGCGUAGAUAUCAAGCGGAACACCAGUGGCGAAGGCGAGUCCCUGGACAACACCUGACACUGAGGCACGAAAGCUAGGGGAGCAAACA